RNAcentral lists this ribosomal RNA (468 nucleotides) under uncultured bacterium. Its description in RNAcentral is "partial 16S ribosomal RNA". It matches the Rfam family "Bacterial small subunit ribosomal RNA", at positions 28 to 507 of the family's 1533-position model. The record is from RNAcentral.
GACGAACGCUGGCGGCGUGCUUAACACAUGCAAGCCGAACGGAGAUUCCCUGCUUAUUACGUGUGCUAACGUGGCGAACGGUUCGGUAACACGUGGGUACCCUGCCUAUGCCUUUGGGAAAACUUCAGGAAACUGGGGCUAAUCCCGAUAAGGAGCUCCUGCUGCAUGGUGGGGGUAUGAAAGUUUCGGCGGUUGGGGAUGUGCUCGCGGCUCAUCAGCUCGUUGUGGAGGUAGUGGCUUACCACGGCUUUGACGGGUAGCCGGCCUGAGAGGGUGACCGGCCACAUUGGGGCUGUGAUACGGCAGGGACUACUACGGGAGGCAGCAGUGUGGAAUAUUGCACGAUGGACGGAAGCCUGAUGCAGCAACGCGGCGUGCGGGAUGACGGCCUUCGGUUUGUAAGCCGAUUUCGCCUGUGACGAAGCGUGAAUGAGAGUAAUGGGUAAAGAAGCACCGGCUAACUACGUG